This 510-nucleotide ribosomal RNA is filed under the name uncultured bacterium. Its description in RNAcentral is "partial 16S ribosomal RNA". It matches the Rfam family "Bacterial small subunit ribosomal RNA", at positions 28 to 507 of the family's 1533-position model. The record is from RNAcentral.
GACGAACGCUGGCGGCGUGCUUAACACAUGCAAGUCGAACGAAGAGCGAUGGACGCUUGCUUCCUUCCAUCUUAGUGGCGCACGGGUGAGUAACGCGUAAUCAACCUGCACUUAAGAGGGGGACAACAGUUGGAAACGACUGCUUAUAGCGCAUAAGAUUUAAUCUCGGCAUUGAGGAUAGAUGAAAGGUGGUGCUUUCAUGUAAGCUAUCACUGAAGGAGGGGAAUGCGGUUGAUUAGCUAGGUGGAGGGGUAAGCGGCUACCAAAGGGAAGAUCAGUAGCCGGGCCUGGGAGAGGGAUGGCCACAUUGGGACUGAGACCAGGCCCAAGACUCUCAGGGAGGCAGCAGUGGGGAAUCUUCCGCAAUUGACGAAAGGCUUACGGGGCAACGCCGCGGUGGGGAAUGCGGCUUUCGGGAUGUAAAAAUCUGUUAAUCGGGACGAAAGACCUGCUUGCGAAUAUUGGGAAGGAUUGACGGUACCUGAAUAGAAAGCCACGGCUAACUACGUG